This 1514-nucleotide ribosomal RNA is filed under the name uncultured Verrucomicrobium sp. Its description in RNAcentral is "16S ribosomal RNA". It matches the Rfam family "Bacterial small subunit ribosomal RNA". The record is from RNAcentral. Lineage: Bacteria; Pseudomonadati; Verrucomicrobiota; Verrucomicrobiia; Verrucomicrobiales; Verrucomicrobiaceae.
AGAGUUUGAUCCUGGCUCAGAACGAACGCUGGCGGCGUGGAUAAGACAUGCAAGUCGAACGCUGACUAUGGGGUAGCAAUAUUCCAUGGUCGGAGUGGCGCAAGGGUGCGUAACACGUGGGCAAUUUGCCGUGAAGCCCGGAAUAACCCCGAGAAAUCGGGGCUAAUACCGGAUGUGACUCCCGGGAGGCAUCUUCUGGGACUCAAAGCUGGGGACCGUAAGGCCUGGCACUUCUCGAUAAGCCCGCGGCCUAUCAGCUAGUUGGUGAGGUAACGGCUCACCAAGGCUAAGACGGGUAGCUGGUCUGAGAGGACGACCAGCCACACUGGAACUGAGACACGGUCCGGACACCUACGGGUGGCAGCAGUCGAGGAUGUUUCUCAAUGGGCGUCAAGCGUGAAGGAGCGACGCGGCGUGGGGUGAUGAAAGGACGUCGGCCUGUAGACCCCUGUGAUUUGCGAACAGACCUCAUGAUGUAAAAGAUGAUGAGUUUGAUAGUAGCGGCAACAUGAAGGGACGGCUAACUCUGUGUCUGACAACGGCAGUUUGACAAAGGUCUCGUAAGGGGUUUGCAGUAGUCAUGUGGUAUUCAACGCCGGCCAGCGUUGGUUCCGAGUCAGGGAUCAACUCCUAAUCUCCUAAGUGAUAUUCGCCGUCCGCCCGCAGGUCUCGACCAUAAUGGGAGAGCUUCCGGUUGAGCAGGUAAUGGUGAGGAUCGAGGGAACCCAGUGGGGAGGGGAGUCCUUGUCAAGCUGACUGAGGCCAGAAGCUAGGGAGCAAACAGGAAUAGAUCCUGCUAGUCUAGCGUAAACGGUGCGGGCUUGCUGUAAAAGGAAUCGACCCCUUUUGUGGCGGAGCUACGCGAUAAGCGCGCCGCCUGGGAAGUACGGUCGCAGAUUAAACUCAAAGAAACUUGACGGGGGCCUGCACAAGCGGUGGAGUAUGUGGCUCAAUUCGAUGCAAUGCGAAGAACCUUACCUGGCCUUGACAUGCAUUUAGUAGGAGGGUGAAAGCCCGACGAGGGAGCAAUCCCAGGAUGCACAGGUGCUGCAUGGCUGUCGUCAGCUCGUGUCGUGAGAUGUUGGGUUAAGUCCCGCAACGAGCGCAACCCCUAUGUCCUGUUGCGACCCGGUCGAGAGACUGGAGCACUCUGGACAGACUGCCUCGCUUCAACGAGGAGGAAGGUGGGGAUGACGUCAAGUCAGGAUGGCCCUUACGGCCAGGGCUGCACACGUACUACAAUGCCCGGCACAAAGGGAAGCAAGACCGAGAGGUGGAGCAAAUCCCAGAAAACCGGGCUCAGUUCAGAUUGAAGGCUGCAACUCGCCUUCAUGAAGCCGGAAUCGCUAGUAAUGGCGCAUCAGCUACGGCGCCGUGAAUACGUUCCCAGGCCUUGUACACACCGCCCGUCACAUCAUGAAAGCCGGUUGUACCCGAAGUCGCUGUGUUAACUGCAAAGAGACAGGCGCCGAAGGUAUGGCUGGUGAUUGGGAUGAAGUCGUAACAAGGUAACC